CAGACUUUGAUAACGCCCAAGUUUUGCUGGAUUCAUCCUUCACAGAUCUGCUUAUUGACAGUUCUGGCUGGAAACAUCAGAAGAUGUACGACAACUGGUGCGAAGCAGUGUACUUAGGUACACCAGCAGGAAAAGUUAUCGUCAACUGUGCAUUCAACUGCACAAAUUACCCACGAGGUGCUUGGCAAUCAAAUAAUGUUUCAUGCAUUGCAUCUACCCAUAAAGCAGUGCACAGCAUGGCGUGGGAUACCACUUACCUGUGUGCUCUGGGAACUUGCACGAAGAACGGUGUGUGCCGAAAAUCCGGACUUUAUAUUGACUGCCGGAAAAUACGAGACGAAAUUGAAAAUUGAAUAGGAGCCUCUUCGGAUUUGCGGAGGAGAUAAGCUCACGCAACAUGACACGCAAUAUUUCAUUAAAUUCGCUAUUUUGGCCGUCAUACGGGAGUCAACAAUCCUCUUUUUAUUCAGUAUUUUGACAAGCUCCAAGGCGGUGGCAUACGCAAACUGAAUAAAAUAUUGUUUCGGUUACUGUC
Dermacentor silvarum is the source of this 535-nucleotide long non-coding RNA. RefSeq lists it as uncharacterized. The record is from RefSeq and is a predicted model, not a curated record. Lineage: Eukaryota; Metazoa; Arthropoda; Arachnida; Ixodida; Ixodidae. The transcript has 4 exons.